GGUGGUUCUUGGGUAGCACACCCUGGAAUCAGGCUCCCUCCUCUCUGGGUCCAAGUGCAUCACCCAAGAACUGCA
Non-coding RNA from Myotis davidii, 75 nucleotides. Lineage: Eukaryota; Metazoa; Chordata; Mammalia; Chiroptera; Vespertilionidae. The record is from Rfam.